CUGGAGCCCAGAUCUGAAUGCUUCAAAAGCUUGCUUAAGUCUGUCCCAACCAUGCAGUUGGUCCAAUAAAAGAUACAUCACCCACAAAAAUCCUUUGCUU
Long non-coding RNA from Gavialis gangeticus (Gharial), 100 nucleotides. RefSeq lists it as uncharacterized. The record is from RefSeq and is a predicted model, not a curated record. NCBI's taxonomy places the organism in Eukaryota, Metazoa, Chordata, Crocodylia, Gavialidae. The transcript is spliced from 3 exons.